This 493-nucleotide ribosomal RNA is filed under the name Oligodon arnensis (Russet kukri snake). RNAcentral's name for it is "partial large subunit ribosomal RNA". It matches the Rfam family "Bacterial large subunit ribosomal RNA", at positions 1814 to 2578 of the family's 2925-position model. The record is from RNAcentral. Lineage: Eukaryota; Metazoa; Chordata; Lepidosauria; Squamata; Colubridae.
CAUAACCUUUAGCCCAACCAAUAUUAAAGGCAACGCCUGCCCGGUGAACAAUUAAACGGCCGCGGUACCCUAACCGUGCAAAGGUAGCAUAAUCAUUUGUCUACUAAUUAUAGACCUGUAUGAAAGGCAAAAUGAGGGUCUAGCUGUCUCUUAUAAUAAAUCAAUUAAACUGAUCUCCUAGUAAAAAAGCUAGAAUUAAACCAUAAGACCAGAAGACCCUGUGAAGCUUUAACUAAACUAUUAAACCCCCUAAUAGCUACUUUCGGUUGGGGCGACCUUGGAAAAAAAAAGAACUUCCAACAAUACGACCUAACUCGUACCACCAAUCAGGCCUACAAGCCACAUAACGACCCAGCAAAGCUGAUAAUCGAACCAAGUUACUCCAGGGAUAACAGCGCAAUCCUCUUCAAGAGCCCAUAUCAAAAAGAGGGUUUACGACCUCGAUGUUGGAUCAGGACAUCCUAAUGGUGCAGAAGCUAUUAAGGGUUCGUUU